UGGUGCGGUUGAUUCGGGUAUGCUCUAUUCAAAGAGGGAUGCUACUUAAUAGCUUUGGGAGCAAAUGUUGCAUCGUGGUUAUGAAAUGAUAUGUUUGUCAGUCAUCAAAGUACAACAACUAAAAAAACAAAUUAUAAAAAUACUAUUCAUAGCAGGCUUUGCUUAUCCAAUUGUAAAUGAUACUUACAGUUGAUGUAUGAAUUCCAAAACUGCGAGUGGUCCUGUGAACAUCCUUCAAAGCAGAAAUUGAUUCGAUUUGGCCAAAUUCAUUCAUGAGAUGAUCUGUACAAAGUAUACCACAGUUCAGGCACUAAUGUGAUUAUUAAUACAGAUACAAGAUAGUUCGUGGUCAGGGGCGAAGCCAGGCCCUUUUUUGGGGUCAGCUGACCCCGAUGGAUUGCUACAAAAUCAGUGUUAAAACAUUGUUCUAGAGCCUAAUUAACACAAGCAAUGCACUGGCUGACCCCAAUGGAUUUUCUGCUGGCUUCGCCCCAAUCGUGGUGCUAUCAGAAUCUGAAUAAUGAAAUUUUGAAACCCGAUGGCGUUACACUGCAUACAAACCUGGAAUGGUUGCCACAAAAAGGAAUUGCCUAUUAGUUGACCUACAUCGUCUAUGGUUUACAGUAUAUAAUAACUGUCUCAAAGAGCAAAUCGAAUAAUAUGUGCUAUUGGCAAUAUAACUUAUUACACUGGUCUCUCUCAUAUGUCAGGUUGUGUUGUUUUAACGGAGCAGCAAAAAAUCAAGUUGAUAAUGUGUUGAUAUAUGUUACUACUGGAAUAUCAUCUCUCAUGUAUUAGCUUAUUGGUGAUUCCUAGAUGACAGUGUAAAUAUGUACAAAGAUGCAACCUUGACAAUAUUGCAUAAGAGAUUCAGUUGGAACUCCGCAAAAGAAGGAUUUAGCUGGGAUUUAUGAGCACUGAUGUUAGUAUUGUAUAAAAUUGAAGCGGUCUUGACAUUCUGGAUAUUUUGGGACAUUUGAGUCGGGAGAAUAUGCUUCAAGAGGAUGCAGGAGUUUUUUCUCGAAUGAUGUGAAUAAGUUACACGAGCUUCAGGUACAGUCAGAUUUUUUUACGAGAUAUCACACGGUAUUAUACUUUUCACAUUAUUACAGUGGCGCCAUCGAUAGUACACAUGACAAUCUCUAAUACUAUGAAGAGGGAGAUUCAUCAUCUGUCCUGCGCUGCGACCCAUGAUUGCACUUGUAAGAAAAACUGUUGCCAAAAAAGAUCAUGGCGAAAGAACCAGUUUGCAUGUGUGUUCAUGCUAAUGUGUUUCAAUUCGAGCAUGACAAAGUAGCACGGGACAUCAUUGAGGUGUGGAAGGGUUAGGUGGAAGAGGACAGCCUCGCCACCAUACCAAGGCCGUCAGCGAGGCCAUGGCUAUGAUGCUGCACCUGCAGAGGGAGAAGGCCCGUGUCCAGAUGGACCUUUGCCAGUCUUUUGCCUUGCCGACAGGAAGCUCGUCAUUGUUGCCGCCAAGCUUGAGAUUAUGGAUCCCAUGCAGCGUCAAGGACAUGUUGCAUCAUUUAUUAUCUUCCUCAUUUUUCAAUGCUUCAUUUUGUUUCCUUCCCUUAAUUGACCUGCUGACCAGCUAAUCGUGCUGUCGACCGUAUGUGUUUGUUUCAACGAAGGAAUCAACAUGAUAUUCGACGCCGAAGAGAAGGGUUUGAGAUUCAGCACAUCUUCUCUCUGCCCAUCUAUAUACCUCAUAUGCUCAGAGUGUUCUUUGCUCAUAGAAGGUUAUAUCAUAAUUUUUAAGAGGAGAAGCAUAUUAUCGUAACAAUAGUAAUUCAUGUUCUCUGCUAGAUUGAACUAUCAAAGUGAUGAACUGUGAAAGCUAUUCCGUUUUU
Molecule: long non-coding RNA, 1850 nt
Organism: Lolium perenne
Lineage: Eukaryota; Viridiplantae; Streptophyta; Magnoliopsida; Poales; Poaceae
Source: RefSeq, a predicted model, not a curated record